UAAUGAUGUAGAAUCAGAUGGAGGCUGUGAAAUAGAAACACCUAGACCAGGUGGUGAGGCAUUUGAAACAGAAACAGCAACACCAGUAGAAUGUGAAGGAACAGCUGCUGCAAUGACAUUUCGCACUGGUAGAACCCGCACUAGGCCUGAACCCCCAGAACCAGUACCAUUACCUUGUUCUCCUUGCAUCCCCUCCCCAUUAUUUGCCCGGGUACCUAUGGCUGAUACAACUGGUGCCAGUGAGGUACCAGCAUGUAUAUGGAUAUUUACGUUCCUUGGGGCACUACCAAUACCAACAUGACUGAAAGUCAUUGGAUUUGGUUGUAGAGCAGAACCACCAAAGAGGGAAUUGGUUUGUAGAGGAAAAGGCUGGACCAUGAUAGGAUUAGGCCCUGAUGGAGAUAUAUAAACUGCAGGUCCAGGGUUUACAGAAGAAUCAGCAGGAGAUUGUCCCAUUCGCAGUGUCAAGAUUGUCCGACCAAGCUCCAAAAGAAGAG
RNAcentral lists this unclassified non-coding RNA (497 nucleotides) under Hevea brasiliensis (rubber tree). Lineage: Eukaryota; Viridiplantae; Streptophyta; Magnoliopsida; Malpighiales; Euphorbiaceae. The record is from RNAcentral.